Molecule: long non-coding RNA, 220 nt
Filed under: Daucus carota (carrot)
Lineage: Eukaryota; Viridiplantae; Streptophyta; Magnoliopsida; Apiales; Apiaceae
Description: long non-coding RNA (DCAR_LNC002916)
Source: RNAcentral
UACAGCUGCCCUCUCCAGCUUCUGAACAUUGACUCUCAUGAUCAAACCUCUCUAGCUAGGAACAUGUAUACAUAUAUAUAUAAAUUUGUGAUAAGCAUCAUACCGGUACUUGUUUCUGUGGCAUGUGGUUAACAAUCUUUGAAACAUUUUCACCUUAGUUACUAGUAUAAGCUGUUGUAUUUGCAAAAAAUUCUCCCCAGAUGGUUCUAUGUUUCUCGGU